This 865-nucleotide long non-coding RNA is filed under the name Monodelphis domestica (gray short-tailed opossum). RNAcentral describes it as "lncRNA (ENSMODG00000040427.1)". Lineage: Eukaryota; Metazoa; Chordata; Mammalia; Didelphimorphia; Didelphidae. The record is from RNAcentral.
ACGGAGGGAGAGAGCGCUGUUUCAAAGAAAGAGAGAGAGAGAGAGAGAGAGAGAGAGAGAGGGAGAGAGAGAGAGAGAGAGAGAGAGAGAGAGAGAGAAAUUAUAAUAUUAUCACUUAUAUUAUAAUAUAAGAUAAUAUAAGAUUAUAAUAUUGUCACUUAGGUCUCAGAAGUCUAGAUUGAAUGUUUAGUUAUGCCCUACAAAGUUUAUCAAAGCAAUUUUGUCGAUAAUCUGGUCUGGAUAUUUAAGACUUGGUGCAUAUAAGUUUUAUCUUGGUUGCUAUAGAUCGCUUAUCUUUAUAUUUUAUUUCCUACAUAGUCAUCAAGAAUUAGUUCUUCAGUAUAUGAAGAAUAAAGCUAAUGAACUCUUCCCUGAAGUCAAAACCAGUAGUCCAGAACGGGCUUCUGAUAUUGGAUUUACUUUGGGCAGACCUGCCUUGGACAAAAAUGUAGAUGAAAAAAGGAGCAUUGUCAAAAGAGAAUUUAGAGAGUCUCUUGGCCACAACCAAUCAGAUAAUGAAAAAGAUGUCACAGAUUCCCUUCCUGUCCAUCCCUUACCUGGAACCUUUUCAAUGCCUGUCCAGAAGAUAUCUGCUCCUCUGGACAUUAAUAAGGAAGAAUUAAUGGACACAGAAGAGGAACCAAAGAAUGAUGGCAUGUUAAUGGUCAAUAAUGCCACUAGAGAACAAAGACAUGGUGAAACUCCAAAUUCUCCGAGUGAACUUGGAGCUCACAGCAUGUCACAGAAGUGUGCUGUUAGAAAAGAUCUGAUGUCAGCAUUCACAGGGGGAGAGGAAGAAGAUGCAGAAUCACCCUGGGAUUCAGAGGUAUUUCCUAUUAUUCUGAACUGUCAAUAUGGAGUGUGA